Molecule: ribosomal RNA, 274 nt
Filed under: uncultured bacterium
Lineage: Bacteria
Description: partial 16S ribosomal RNA
Rfam family: Bacterial small subunit ribosomal RNA
Source: RNAcentral
AUACGAACCGUACGAACGUUAUUCGGAAUCACUGGGCUUAAAGAGUGCGUAGGCGGCUUGGAAAGUUGGGUGUGAAAUCCCUCGGCUCAACCGAGGAAUUGCGCCCAAAACUGUCAAGCUUGAGGGAGAUAGAGGUAAGCGGAACUAAUGGUGGAGCGGUGAAAUGCGUUGAUAUCAUUAGGAACACCUGAGGCGAAAGCAGCUUACUGGGUCUCUUCUGACGCUGAGGCACGAAAGCUAGGGGAGCGAACGGGAUUAGAUACCCGAGUAGUCC